AUAGAGAAGAAGAACUGAAUUUUGCCUAGAUUUGACUCAUAAUUUUCACUACCAGUACCAUAGGAGCAGUCUUACAUCCCUCCAUAGUCUGAUGAUCAAGAUCCUCAAUCUCACUGAAGGGUCUCUGUGUGUAUGCCAUCAUCAGCCUAAUAGCUACUCGGUCACCAUGCAGUAUCCCUACAUUUGCAUAAAUGCUGAGACUGACAAUAAAGUUUCCAGUUAGUGCCAAAAUAAUCUGUGACUGAGAAACUGAGAUACUUGUUUGGGAUGUGACUGUUCCAAGAUCCUGCAGUGGUCCUUUAUCUAAACCAAAGCUGGAAUUCUGGAAUUCCCUCUCAGAGUCAAUCCUGUUCUUGCUUAACUGCUGACUUCUUUCUUCAUCUUCAAACUAUUGUUUUUUAUUCUAAUACAUACACAUAUAGCAUGCUUAUUUAUUCUUUAUAUUUUGAAUCCUGAUUUAGAGUUGUUGUUGUCUCAUGAAGAAAAUGCUGGUAAUUUUCCUCUUGUUAUUUGAAAGGCAAAGAAAUACAAGCCUCAAUUUUCUUCUGUAGUUGGCUGAAGUCUCACAAUCAAAUGUUGCUUCCUUCAGCUUUUGAAGUAAAAUUAAAAGAAGCUCUUGCCCUGCAGUUAUUGGCAGCUGCUGCAGUGGUUAAUUACCCAUGUUUCAGGCUCAGAUUUACUGUACAGCUUAAUCAGCAUUUCUCCAGGCUUGUGUAAUCUAGGAACGGUUUUCUGAAGCAUGGCAAGAGGUACAUACAUGCCAUAAAAAACCACUGUGUGGAUGAAUACACCAUUUAAAUGUCACUGUCAUCAUUCUAAAACUCUGAGUGGGAACAGAGAUUUCCAUUGUCUGAUGGGGCAAAGAUACAGAUUCUUUCAAACUUUUUGUUUUACUUCAGACUGGAACUGCACCGAGAGCUGUAUCAAGGACUUUGGUUCUACUCAAUCCAUAGGUCAAAAUAGAGCACUUACAAGAUACCUAUUGCAAAUUUAUUUUUAUCAUACCACUGAGUUCACGUGGCUUCCCACAUAA
RNAcentral lists this long non-coding RNA (1033 nucleotides) under Phasianus colchicus (ring-necked pheasant). RNAcentral's name for it is "lncRNA (ENSPCLG00000019657.1)". The record is from RNAcentral. Lineage: Eukaryota; Metazoa; Chordata; Aves; Galliformes; Phasianidae.